RNAcentral lists this unclassified non-coding RNA (2727 nucleotides) under Camponotus floridanus (Florida carpenter ant). RNAcentral describes it as "angiopoietin-2, transcript variant X2". Lineage: Eukaryota; Metazoa; Arthropoda; Insecta; Hymenoptera; Formicidae. The record is from RNAcentral.
UCCUGAAUGAAACUUUAUUCAAUCGGAUCGGAACAAUCCCCUUUCAUUGGAAUAGCGCGAUUUCAUUUCUGCAAUGGCUCUCGUCGCAACUCGUUGCGCACGGGCUAUGUCGGGCUACGCGUACGCGGCAGGCAAUACCAGGCAGCGCGGAAAAGGUUCCCGAUUCCUGGACGAUACCCCACCCUUUCGUUACGCCUCUAUCUACCGCCUCGCCACCUGUGUACGGGUCGAACGAGAAUGGGACCAGGACCCGCAGGCUGAUACGAGAGUUGAAAAAGGAACGGUAGUGAGAGUCCAAGUCGGGAGGGAAAGGAUUCCGAGCGCGCGCGCGCGCGCGCUCGCGCGGCCGAUGCCGAUGCCGCUUGAACGCGGGCACUUGGAUGUGAAAGAUUCGAUCGAUCAACGGUACGUGUAAUAUUAUGGCGAUGAAACUUUAACUAAAAAGGAGAAAAAGAGGAAAUAAGAGCGAGAGAAAAAGAAAUGGAAGACAAAGGGCAGUAACGAGCAACAAGAAGUGAGAGAUGUGACAACUUUUUGUGCAGUGGAUCGAUUAUCGCUCCGAUUGGAUAAUAAGGAAAGAAGAAAGAGAAUUGGCUUCCAAGGCAAAGCGAAACUCUCUCUCUUUCUCUAUCGAGCAAAUUGGACGUCUCUCUUCGUACAAAUGUUCCGGAGAGUGUUGUUUGAAUCCGCAAGACUUUGUAAUUAUGAGACAAUCGAUACUCGUUAUCGCGUGCUGCUUUUUGGGCUUUGUCUUAGCGGGAAGUCCUAGAUUACCACGAACAUCCGCCGAUCAGCGCAGCACACGUAGCGCGAACCAUAAUAGCACCGGCGCUACGCUACAAUCGUCUUCUCGCAAUUUGCAACGAAAUAGAGAACAAUAUCUUUUCAAUGUUUUCGAAGUAAUAGUAUCAACUUUAGAGUCCAAGUUGCAACGAAUCGAGAAUUUAGAUAAGGCGGUGGAACACUUGAUGAGAAGAGUAGAAGCUUUAGAUUCGCGCGUAAAUGAUAAUAUCGAUAAAACGGAUGCGGUUAUUACUAAACUCAGAACGUUAGAUCUGAAACUUUUCAAUGCGUACCCUAUUAUGUCAACGGAAGCUAUUCACGCAGCGAGAAUUACCGAAAAUAAAAGCCAAGAUUACACCGAGGAUACUCCGCUGAUACGUAUAAUUCAUCAUGAUCAAAAUCAUCGGACUCCUGAAACGCUCGGUGAAAAGUUGGUCUCCUUGGAUCAAAAAGUUUCCGAUAUCGAUCAUAAGCUUGUUAAUCUGAAAAAUCAGCUCGACAACAAUUUCUUACAAAAUGAUGAUAUAAAUGCUGAGGCGAGCGAAAAGAAACCUGUCAGUAUGAGUGUCAUCGAAAUUACUAAAGCUAUGAGUAACGAAGUGAUGAACCAUAUGACGAUUGAAAUUGAGAAUCUUAGGCAAGCGACAGGUAGUAUGGAUCGAAAACUUCAAUUCCACAUGAACUUGGUGUCGGAUAAUCUCGGGGCGUUAUAUAAUAUGGUUACCGAUGUGCACGAGGCUAUUGUCGAGAAAAAUUACGGAAAUGAUCGACAAAAUCAUCUCAAUCUAACAACGACCGAAGCUCCAACGAAGCAGAGUAAAAUUGAUCGUCUUGUCGAACAAAUGUAUCCGAUGCUUACCGUUUCUGAAAAAAUGGAUCAAGUUUGGAAUGUAGUGAUGGGAACCAAGAGUUCGGUGGAUGACUUGCUGCCAAAAUCUGACAAAUUGCUUACUCAGACGCAAAGGCAAGAGAGGGCAAUUAACGAAAUUCAUGCCGAUUUAAGAUCAAAAACGAAUAAGAUUAUUGAGAAUCUGGAGGGCGUCGAGAGCCGCUUGAGAAAACAAGAGGACGAUGUGGCAACGUUAGCGCAACGUCCAAUUCCGGCUGAAUUGUUGUUAGAUCCGACAAUUGACCGGCUCGUUGAAUAUGAUCCAAGCAGAUACGUAACCGAAGAUUUUGCAACGGAGAUGCCCGCAACAUCUAUGCUGUCUACCGCGGCGCCACCCUUGUCGACUACAACAUCAAUAUCGUCUGUCGCUUCACCCUCGAACAACCCUACCAAUUCUACGACACCUAUGACGGCAACAUCUUCUUCCAAUAUUGCUAGAUCGAGUAAUAAAAAUCGGGGAGUUAUAUUUCCCAGUGUUAAGAAUAAACCAAGUUUCGCAAAUUCUACCGCCUUUACAAGCGAUGUAUUAGUCAACUAUAAGGAUGUCAAGGGUUAUUCUUGUGUGGAUUUAUUAAACGCAGGAAUGAGAGAUAGCGGAGUCUACUAUUUGCAAAUACGCGGUACGACAUAUUGGUUCCUCAAGGUUUAUUGCGAACAGGAAAUUGCCGAUGGUGGUUGGACAAUUAUUCAGAGGAGGGAUGAUUUCGGAGAGCCAAGGGAGAAUUUUAAUAGAGAUUGGGGAGAUUAUAAAAAUGGAUUUGGAGAUCCUGCUAAAGAAUUUUGGCUGGGCAAUGAAAAUAUAUACAUGUUGACAAAUAAUGAAGAUUAUAUGCUUCGAGUUGAACUUGAAGACUUCGAAGGUAACAAAAGAGGGAGAGUAUUAUAAAUUAGAGAUAGAUGGAUAUGAGGGAAAUGCUGGAGAUUCGUUAAACGAUCCUUGGUACGGAUCAAACAAUAGCCCAUUCUCCACGUAUAAUAGGGAUAAUGAUAGAUCAUCUUUGAAUUGCGCUUCGAUGCUUAAAGGUGGUUGGUGGUGGAAAUCUUGCGGACGCGGU